RNAcentral lists this unclassified non-coding RNA (358 nucleotides) under Thymus pulegioides. Its description in RNAcentral is "partial external transcribed spacer". The record is from RNAcentral. Lineage: Eukaryota; Viridiplantae; Streptophyta; Magnoliopsida; Lamiales; Lamiaceae.
CAUGCCUCUUCAGUUUUCUGGUGCGAGCAUUCGCUUGCCCGAAGUCGGUUUAUUCCUGUAUUGAAUACCCGUAUUCAAGGCACUGUGUUGGAUAAAUUGUCCCUUUCCCGCCUUGUGCUGCUGCCCACCAGUGGGCGGUUGGUGCGGGGUGGGCCAAACAGGGCAUGCCGUUUGUCCCAUCYCACUGCCCUCAUAAAAGGGCAUUCGGGCUGAUGACACUCGACAUGCUACUCGUUCUCUUGGGUCCGGAACAUUGCGUGGGUACGGGGCCACUGGCCUCGAAGCACCACAAACAAAGCGUUCUACGCUUCGUGCGAACGACAGUUGGUUYGGCCUCUGGCUGGGCACUCGUUGCCUG